Molecule: ribosomal RNA, 445 nt
Filed under: uncultured bacterium
Lineage: Bacteria
Description: partial 16S ribosomal RNA
Rfam family: Bacterial small subunit ribosomal RNA
Source: RNAcentral
GUGAGGAAUAUUGGUCAAUGGGCGCAAGCCUGAUCCAGCCAUGCCGCGUGCAGGAAGACGCAUCUAUGGUGUGUAAACUGCUUUUGUACGGGAAGAAACACUCCCUCGUGAGGGAGCUUGACGGUACCGUAAGAAUAAGGAUCGGCUAACUCCGUGCCAGCAGCCGCGGUAAUACGGAGGAUCCAAGCGUUAUCCGGAAUCAUUGGGUUUAAAGGGUCCGUAGGCGGUUUAAUAAGUCAGUGGUGAAAGCCCAUCGCUCAACGAUGGAACGGCCAUUGAUACUGUUAGACUUGAAUUACAAGGAAGUAACUAGAAUAUGUAGUGUAGCGGUGAAAUGCUUAGAUAUUACAUGGAAUACCAAUUGCGAAGGCAGGUUACUACUUGUGGAUUGACGCUGAUGGACGAAAGCGUGGGGAGCGAACAGGAUUAGAUACCCGUGUAGUCC